GGAACGUCUCAGUUCGGAUUGUAGUCUGCAACUCGACUACAUGAAGCUGGAAUCGCUAGUAAUCGCGAAUCAGAAUGUCGCGGUGAAUACGUUCCCGGGUCUUGUACACACCGCCCGUCACACCAUGGGAGUUGGGAAUGCCCGAAGCCGGUGACCUAACCGAAAGGGAGGAGCCGUCGAAGGCAGGCUUGAUAACUGGGGUGAAGUCGUAACAAGGUACC
Molecule: ribosomal RNA, 221 nt
Filed under: uncultured bacterium
Lineage: Bacteria
Description: partial 16S ribosomal RNA
Rfam family: Bacterial small subunit ribosomal RNA
Source: RNAcentral